GGAUGACUUGUGGAUAGGGGUGAAAGGCUAAUCAAGCCUGGUGAUAGCUGGUUCUCCCCGAAAGCUAUUUAGGUAGCGCCUCGGACGAAUACCAUAGGGGGUAGAGCACUGUUUCGGCUAGGGGGUCAUCCCGACUUACCAAACCGAUGCAAACUCCGAAUACCUAUGAGUACUAUCCGGGAGACAGACUGCGGGUGCUAACGUCCGUAGUCAAGAGGAAAACAAUCCAGACCGCCAGCUAAGGCCCCAAAAUCAUAGUUAAGUGGGAAACGAUGUGGGAAGGCAUAGACAGCUAGGAGGUUGGCUUAGAAGCAGCCACCCUUUAAAGAAAGCGUAAUAGCUCACUAGUCGAGUCGGUCUCCGCGGAAGAUUUAACGGGGCUAAGCAGUGAACCGA
RNAcentral lists this ribosomal RNA (396 nucleotides) under Xanthomonas citri pv. citri. RNAcentral describes it as "partial 23S ribosomal RNA". It matches the Rfam family "Bacterial large subunit ribosomal RNA", at positions 802 to 1197 of the family's 2925-position model. Lineage: Bacteria; Pseudomonadati; Pseudomonadota; Gammaproteobacteria; Lysobacterales; Lysobacteraceae. The record is from RNAcentral.